UACAGAGGGGGCAAGCGUUGUUCGGAAUUACUGGGCGUAAAGGGCGCGUAGGCGGCCCGCUAAGUCGAACGUGAAAUCCCUGGGCUCAACCCAGGAACUGCGUCCGAUACUGGCAGGCUUGAAUCCGGGAGAGGGAUGCGGAAUUCCAGGUGUAGCGGUGAAAUGCGUAGGUAUCUGGAGGAACACCGGUGGCGAAGGCGGCAUCCUGGACCGGCAUUGACGCUGAGGCGCGAAAGCCAGGGGGGCAAACGGG
Molecule: ribosomal RNA, 253 nt
Filed under: uncultured bacterium
Lineage: Bacteria
Description: partial 16S ribosomal RNA
Rfam family: Bacterial small subunit ribosomal RNA
Source: RNAcentral